Acinonyx jubatus (cheetah) is the source of this 2058-nucleotide long non-coding RNA. RefSeq lists it as uncharacterized. NCBI's taxonomy places the organism in Eukaryota, Metazoa, Chordata, Mammalia, Carnivora, Felidae. The record is from RefSeq and is a predicted model, not a curated record. The transcript has 5 exons.
CUUCCUGGCCGCCCGGCCUCCUCAGGCUCGCCUGAGACCACAAGCAGAGGAGGGGCAGAGAGAGAGGGAGACACAGAAUGGGAAACAGUCUUCAGACUCUGAGCUGUCACCAACUGAGCAACCCAGUCUCCAGGCAGAUUACAGAUGUCUCCAGCCUCUCUGUCUAGAGGCCUGGAUCCGCUAUGCUUGGUGUACCACCAUCUUCACCGGACUCAUGAGGACAGAGGAAUAUGUCAGAGCACUGGGGUGCUCCAGUCAUACUGAGAACAGCCACCAAAAUUGACAGGUACUUAUUUACCUAAGGAAGCAAUUAAAUAGAAACAUGAUCUCAUAUAUGAGAUUUAAAAAUAUGGUUAAGCAAGAAGAAACUAUUCACUAGUUCUUUACAACUCUGUGGAUGAUCUUUCUGUUCUCUUUUUAGCUAAGCAAAGUGUUUCAAACUUCACAAAGAAAGAGAAGAGCUUAUCUUGUUAAAUCGUCUUUGAGAACUGUACUUGUCAGUGAUGUGAGUGGAUGAGUGUGAAUCUUCUGAAAUUGUUUUGUGAGAUCUGCAUACAGAAAAUCUCUCUUGGGAGCCUACUGAUGAUAUCAAACUACACACUUAAGCCCUUUCAGCUCUAGAAGAGUUCAUUUACUUUUAGGUUUGUUAAUUGAUGCAUUUUUGCAAGAUUGUCAGACUGUCCCAACUAUUCCAAAGAAAAUCUCUUUUUUGCUCAUGAGAGUCUUAAGAAUGAAUUCAAUAUCUCAUCCAUAAAAUGACUAUUUUAUUCUUAUCCAUAUUUAUUAUCUGCCCUUUGUACAUUUUAUCACUCUAAAACAUUUUGCUAGCAUGAUCUCAUUUAUCAUUUAUUGCCUCUCUUAUCUUUUGCUACUGGCAGGACACUCAGUGAAUUGUGUACCUUUUCAAAGUAACACAUGCUCCAUGAGGCAAAGUGCCAAAUAUCACUCCCCACGUUACCUCCUCUUUCUCAAAAUAUUGAUUUUCUUCUCUGAGGUUGAUCCAAGAGUCCCAUGAUAUUGGUGGCUGUCUACUGAUCUCCCCAAUGAGGGGUAGGCCCCCUAGGGUUCUAGUCAUGGCAAGCUGUCAUGGCUUUAAAAACUGGCAAGCACUCUGUCAGGAAACAGAUUAAAGUGUAACCUUGCUGUUUCAUACUUCACUGCUAAUAUCAUGACCAUCUAUUAAAAGUGCUUUCUUUGGAGGCAUAGAUUGCUGUUUCUUCUAUAAUAUCACCCGUGUGUUGUUUAAAAAUCUUGUGGUGUGGAAAAUUGCACACAAAAUAGUAGAACUUAUGGGAAAAAAUAUGAUGAGAAGAUCUAUGCAACUUUGUAGUGAGAACACUAAGAAGUAAUUUUUUAACAAUAUCAAAAGAAACAAGACACUGCUACACUUAAAAACAUAUUAAGUUACUAAUAACCUUCCUGUUAAAGCAAUAACCAUUUAAUGAUAGUUUUGAUGGAAAGUGUGGAAGGAGAGGAUUGCAAUAACUGAGUUAUUUAGACAAAAAAAAAACCCAAUAAACACUUCUGGAAUAGAAUAUAUGGCAGAAGAAAGAAUAGCAGGUGACUGGCAUCUUAGAUAGCAGGUAUACCUCCAUUAGUUACAAUAAGCAGUAUACUCAUUAUAGUUACAGUUACUAUCAGCAGUACAGUAGUCUAAUAUGGGUUCAGCUGCCCUUUCAACAGGGAAAAAUAUGAAUGAGUUAAGUAAAAUAACAAAGAACCAACACAGUUUUCAUUCCUUAAGUGUUGAAACUUACAGUUUUCCCUAAUGAACCAGAGAAUGGUAAAUGGUCUUACCUUCUCAUCCACGAGUCCCCCAAAACAGAGUUGUAUUGUCAAGAGUUACCAUUAUUAGGGUAAGGAGACUAUAAUAUGUACAAGUACCAAUUCUCAAAAAGUUAACAAGAAACAAACACUUGUAAGAACUGAAAUUUUAAGUUUUUAAAUUCAUGUAUAUUAAUUUUUUUAACAUUUUAUAUUAUCUCAUAUUCAGCUCAUUGUAUUUUCAAUUUAAAGAACGGUGACUAUGAGAUAUUUCUAAAUUUUAGCAAGAGUGCC